Molecule: ribosomal RNA, 545 nt
Filed under: Potamanthus formosus
Lineage: Eukaryota; Metazoa; Arthropoda; Insecta; Ephemeroptera; Potamanthidae
Description: partial 12S ribosomal RNA
Rfam family: Microsporidia small subunit ribosomal RNA (bases 182-545)
Source: RNAcentral
AACAAGAGAAGUGAGAAAAUAGUUUUAGUUUUAGUUAAUAGGUAUAUUUAUUAGUUAAUUAUAUUUUGUUAGGUGAAAUUUUAAAAUAUAGAAUGGAUAAUAUAAUUUAUAUAAAGCUAGGAAAAUCAGAUUUUAAACUAGGAUUAGAUACCCUACUAUUCUGGAAGUUAAUUUGUUGCUAGAGUAGUAAUAGAUAUGUUCUUGAAACUCAAAGAAUUUGGCGGUGUUUUAGUCUUAUCAGAGGAACUUGCCCCGUAAUCGAUAAUCCUCGUUUUACUUUACUUAAUUAGGUUAACAGCUUGUAUACCGCCGUCAUCAGGAUAUUUCCUAAGAAUAUGUUCAAGGUCUUAAAUUAAAAUAUAUGUCAGGUCAAGGUGUAGCUUAUGAUUAAGUGGAGGUGAGUUACAAUAUGGAAACAUAAACGGAGUAGAUUUUGAAAAUGAUUUAGGAAGGUGGAUUUGGUAGUAAUAUAUUUUAGAAAGAAUAUAUGAUGGUAGCUCUAAAACAUGCACACAUCGCCCGUCGCUCUCAUUUAUUAAGGUGAG